UACGUAGGGUGCGAGCGUUGUCCGGAAUUACUGGGCGUAAAGAGCUCGUAGGCGGCUUGGCAAGUCGGAUGUGAAAACUCCAGGCUCAACCUGGAGCCGCCAUUCGAUACUGCUAUGGCUAGAGUCCGGUAGGGGAGUGUGGAAUUCCCGGUGUAGCGGUGAAAUGCGCAGAUAUCGGGAGGAACACCGAUGGCGAAGGCAGCACUCUGGGCCGGUACUGACGCUGAGACGCGAAAGCGUGGGGAGCGAACAGG
Molecule: ribosomal RNA, 254 nt
Filed under: uncultured bacterium
Lineage: Bacteria
Description: partial 16S ribosomal RNA
Rfam family: Bacterial small subunit ribosomal RNA
Source: RNAcentral